Molecule: ribosomal RNA, 460 nt
Filed under: uncultured bacterium
Lineage: Bacteria
Description: partial 16S ribosomal RNA
Rfam family: Bacterial small subunit ribosomal RNA
Source: RNAcentral
CCUACGGGCGGCAGCAGUGAGGAAUAUUGGUCAAUGGCCGGAAGGCUGAACCAGCCAUGCCGCGUGAAGGUCAGUGCCCUAUGGGCGUUAAACUUCUUUUGUGCGGGAGCAAUAAUGGUCACGUGUGGCCAGACGAGAGUACCGUACGAAUAAGCAUCGGCUAACUCCGUGCCAGCAGCCGCGGUAAAACGGGGGAUGCAAGCGUUAUCCGGAGUUAUUGGGGUUAAAGGGUGCGUAGGCUGUGAGGUAAGUCAGCGGUGAAAUGCCCCCGCUCAACGGGGUGAAGGGCCAUUGAUACUGCCUUGCUGGAAUGCGGAUGCCGUGGGAGGAAUGUGUGGUGUAGCGGUGAAAUGCAUAGAUAUCACACAGAACACCGAUUGCGAAGGCAUCUCACGAAUCCGCGAUUGACGCUGAUGCACGAAAGCGUGGGUAUCAAACAGGAUUAGAUACCCUAGUAGUC